This 327-nucleotide long non-coding RNA is filed under the name Rattus norvegicus (Norway rat). RNAcentral describes it as "long non-coding RNA NONRATT005914". Lineage: Eukaryota; Metazoa; Chordata; Mammalia; Rodentia; Muridae. The record is from RNAcentral.
ACAGUUUUUUAGGGGUGGGGAAGAUGGCUCAGCAGUUAAGAGUACUUGAUGUUAUCCCAAACCACCCGGCACUCACGUGACAGCUCCCAGCCCUCUAUAACUCCAGUUCCAAGGAAGCUGAUUUCCUCUUGCACUCUCCAUAGACAUCCGACACAGUGCGUAGACACAUGUAUAGGCUCAUCAGUUAAGAACACAUUUUUUGCUAUUCUAGAGGACCUGGGUUGGAUUCCCAGCACACAUAUGGCCAGUAACAGGCACCAGACAAACAUGAGGUGCACAGACAUACAUGCAGGCAAAACACUCAUACAUGUAAAAUAAUAAAAUAAA